RNAcentral lists this ribosomal RNA (253 nucleotides) under uncultured bacterium. RNAcentral describes it as "partial 16S ribosomal RNA". It matches the Rfam family "Bacterial small subunit ribosomal RNA", at positions 524 to 776 of the family's 1533-position model. The record is from RNAcentral.
UACGUAGGGGGCUAGCGUUGUCCGGAAUCAUUGGGCGUAAAGAGCGCGUAGGCGGCCAGAUAAGUCCGGUGUGAAAGCCCCCGGCUCAACUGGGGAGGGUCACGCGAUACUGAUCGACUCGAAGGCAGGAGAGGGUAGUGGAAUUCCCGGUGUAGUGGUGAAAUGCGUAGAUAUCGGGAGGAACACCAGUGGCGAAGGCGACUACCUGGCCUGUUCUUGACGCUGAGGCGCGAAAGCUAGGGGAGCAAACGGG